RNAcentral lists this ribosomal RNA (397 nucleotides) under uncultured bacterium. RNAcentral's name for it is "partial 16S ribosomal RNA". It matches the Rfam family "Bacterial small subunit ribosomal RNA", at positions 523 to 918 of the family's 1533-position model. The record is from RNAcentral.
AUACGUAGGGGGCGAGCGUUGUCCGGAAUGAUUGGGCGUAAAGGGCGCGUAGGCGGCCCGGUAAGUCUGGAGUGAAAGUCCUGUUUUUGAGAUGGGAAUUGCUUUGGAUACUGUCGGGCUUGAGUGCAGGAGAGGUAAGUGGAAUUCCCAGUGUAGCGGUGAAAUGCGUAGAGAUUGGGAGGAACACCAGUGGCGAAGGCGACUUACUGGACUGUAACUGACGCUGAGGCGCGAAAGUGUGGGGAGCAAACAGGAUUAGAUACCCUGGUAGUCCACACUGUAAACGAUGAAUGCUAGGUGUAGGGGGUAUCGACCCCUUCUGUGCCGCAGUCAACACAAUAAGCAUUCCGCCUGGGGAGUACGGCCGCAAGGUUGAAACUUAAAGGAAUUGACGGGG